GACGAACGCUGGCGGCGUGCUUAACACAUGCAAGUCGAACGAGUGUCGAACGGGGGAGUAACACGUGGGUGACCUUCCCUGCACUUCGGGGAAAGCCUGGGGAAAUGGGUCUAAUACCGGAUAGUGCGGUAUGGGGCCGCGGCAUAGCAGCUUGUUGUGUGGGUAAUGGCUACCAAGGCGCGACGGGUAGCCGGCCUGAGAGGGUGGACGGCCACAUUGGGACUGAGACACGGCCCAGACUCCUACGGGAGGCAGCAGUGGGGAAUAUUGCACAAUGGGCGGAAGCCUGAUGCAGCCAUGCCGCGUGUAUGAAGAAGGCCUUAGGGUUGUAAAGUACUUUCAGCGGGGAGGCGUUACCCGCAGAAGAAGCACCGGCUAACUCCGUGCCAGCAGCCGCGGUAAUAC
RNAcentral lists this ribosomal RNA (405 nucleotides) under uncultured bacterium. RNAcentral describes it as "partial 16S ribosomal RNA". It matches the Rfam family "Bacterial small subunit ribosomal RNA", at positions 28 to 526 of the family's 1533-position model. The record is from RNAcentral.